AAGUUGCCCUUAGUAAAGUGUAACAUAAAUUUAAUGUAUCUCGUUUACAUCGAGAUUAUAUCUAUUGUUGAUCUCUUUAA
Molecule: transfer RNA, 80 nt
Filed under: Cyclophorus martensianus
Lineage: Eukaryota; Metazoa; Mollusca; Gastropoda; Architaenioglossa; Cyclophoridae
Description: partial tRNA-Val
Source: RNAcentral